This 253-nucleotide ribosomal RNA is filed under the name uncultured bacterium. Its description in RNAcentral is "partial 16S ribosomal RNA". It matches the Rfam family "Bacterial small subunit ribosomal RNA", at positions 524 to 776 of the family's 1533-position model. The record is from RNAcentral.
UACGUAGGGUGCAAGCGUUAAUCGGAAUUACUGGGAGUAAAGCGUGCGCAGGCGGUUUGCUAAGACAGGUGUGAAAUCCCCGGGCUUAACCUGGGAACUGCGCUUGUAACUGGCAAGCUGGAGUGUGGCAGAGGGGGGUGGAAUUCCACGUGUAGCAGUGAAAUGCGUAGAGAUGUGGAGGAACACCGAUGGCGAAGGCAGCCCCCUGGGCUAACACUGACGCUCCUGCACGAAAGCGUGGGGAGCAUACAGG